This 467-nucleotide ribosomal RNA is filed under the name uncultured bacterium. RNAcentral's name for it is "partial 16S ribosomal RNA". It matches the Rfam family "Bacterial small subunit ribosomal RNA", at positions 28 to 507 of the family's 1533-position model. The record is from RNAcentral.
GAUGAACGCUGGCGGCGUGCUUAACACAUGCAAGUCGAACGGAAAGGCCCAAGCUUGCUUGGGUACUCGAGUGGCGAACGGGUGAGUAACACGUUGGUGAUCUGCCCUGCACUUCGGGAUAAGCCUGGGAAACUGGGUCUAAUACCGGAUAGGACCACAUUUUGGAUGGUGUGGUGGAAAGUUUUUCGGUGUGGGAUGAGCUCGCGGCCUAUCAGCUUGUUGGUGGGGUAAUGGCCUACCAAGGCGUCGACGGGUAGCCGGCCUGAGAGGGUGUACGGACACAUUGGGACUGAGAGACGGCCCAGACUCCUACGGGAGGCAGAAGUGGGGCAUAUUGCACAAUGGGCGAAAGCCUGAUGCAGCGACGCCGCGUGGGGGAUGACGGCCUUCGGGUUGUAAACUCAUUUCGCUAGGGACGAAGCGUUUUUGUGACGGUACCUGGAGAAGAAGCACCGGCUAACUACGUG